Molecule: long non-coding RNA, 1395 nt
Organism: Talpa occidentalis (Iberian mole)
Lineage: Eukaryota; Metazoa; Chordata; Mammalia; Eulipotyphla; Talpidae
Exons: 4
Source: RefSeq, a predicted model, not a curated record
UCUGGCGUGACGCACCUGCUGUCUCAGAAGUUGCUUCCCACAAAACUCGCCCUCACAGAGACAGGAGGAAAAGUCCAUUCUCAGCACUACCAGUCUUGUCUGAAGCUGAAUCGCUACUGCUAGUGAGAGUGUGUCUCCUAUAUCUUCCCAAGGAGAGGGGCCUUUGCAGUUGGAGUGGUUCUGGUGGAUGGUUCUUCAUGGUUUGAGAUUCCUGGGGUUUGAUGUCAUGACUGUUGUGUCUUCAAAUGCGCAAUGCCAUGUGGUAUGUCUGCUCUCAGAGUCAUAUCCUGCCGACAACAUCAAUUGUUUUUCAACCAUCCAAAGACAGUCUACACAGCAUUAUUCAGCAAGAAGUGGCAGAUGUACUUUCCAUUUCAGUGUGCUACAGAGUCUGUGGGACCUGGUCUGGCUCAGAGCUCACUGGAAUCGUGACCUGGGAUGACCUUCCCAACUUGGGGGCCAGAGCUUCCCACUUCAGCUUCUGUCUGCGUCGGUCCCUGAGAAGAAGCCAUCCUGCCAGGUUCAGGAGCCCACAUCCCCCCAGGAGGUCUUCCCCCAAGCCCUCAGACUGGAGCACAGACCCAGCUAUUCCACACUGUGCUGGGUGGGCUCCUGGUGCAGGGAGAGGUGACCUCCCUGGACACUCUGGGGAGCCUGAGAUCCUCCUGGGAGAGGACACCCCCUUUCCUUCUGCUCAGUGAGGGGGUGGGUGUGGAUAAGCAGGGCCCAGAGCCAGGAUUAGUGCCUCCUUGGGCCGGGUGUCCUUUUAGAGUUCCACACAGGGAAAAGGUUAUGGGGGUUCUGGGGAAUGACUGGGGCUGCUGCUCACUGGGGUCUUGGUGGAACCUGUGUCAUCACUGAAAAUAUCAUGGUCAUACAUUAGUAAAAAGUAUAAUUACUCAUUUCUGUUCAACUUGGAUGAGAAAGAGGGUUUUUUUAAUAUUUAGGAACACAUUUCCCAUAUUUAAGUCUUCUUAGACAACAAACUCGAGAAUGUGGACUCCAGUGUACAUGUACAAUCUGUGAAGAUAAAAAGAAAAUAUUGUAAAAGUAUGUAUUAAAUAUGAAGAAUUAAAACAUCAUAAUUUGCAGCACUCAAAAAUCACAAGGAAACAGUGUGACAGAACUAAUCCAUCAUUAUUAGUUUAUAUUAAAUAAUUAUAAAAUUAUGAACUAGACGACAGCUAUUCCAUGUAGGAGGUGUUAAUCUCUGGGGAUUUAACAAAACACAUUCGAGGUCAGCCAGUGUCAGGACAUGCAGGCAAAGUUCAGGAGCAGGCAUGGUUUAGAACCCCAAUAACAUCUGCCGACGACCUGCAGGGCAACUGGGUGUCCUCCUUGGAAAUGUUUGUGUUGGUUUCUUGCCCAUUUCUUGAUUGGGGUGUCUGCUUUCUG